This is a long non-coding RNA of Phyllostomus hastatus (greater spear-nosed bat), 441 nucleotides long. RefSeq lists it as uncharacterized. The record is from RefSeq and is a predicted model, not a curated record. The transcript is spliced from 4 exons. Lineage: Eukaryota; Metazoa; Chordata; Mammalia; Chiroptera; Phyllostomidae.
CCCGCCCCUGCCGGCCUCCCAUUGGCCCGGCGUUCGCCUCGGCGUCUUGACGUCCUCCGGCAGGCUGAAGUGCGGCUCGCGCCCUUUUCCCAUUGGACAGGGCACUCCCGGCAGAUUUCCUAACAUGGUGAUAGUGAUGGCCAACAGUGCAGCAGCAGCAAUAGUAGCAGUAAUUCUUUACUGAAUGAGACCCUGAUUCGGGCAGUGCCCUGGACGUGUUACCUGAGUGACCUCACCAGUCCAUACAGUAAAGGCUGGUUUGAGAAGCCGGGGCAGGGAGUGAUGAGAAAGGAGAGCAGGAAGCAGAAACCAGAAACUUCAUACUGAGAGUCAACUGAAGAUCAUUCAUAAUUCAAGAGAGGGCACUUGGCAAAUUGAAAUCAAAAAGAAAAAUGAAAUACCUAGGAAUAAACCUAACGAAAGAGGUAAAAGACCUGUAUU